GAUCCGAGAAAUUUAACUUGUGUUCGACUCAUUAAUAAACGAGCCGAGUAUAAGCUAGUUCACCAACUGGCCAACGAACAAUAAAUUAAAUAGAUUAGAUUGAAUAUAUAUAAAAAAUAAAUUUAUAAAAUCUUACUCAUUAAACUUUGAUAUAAUGGUUAAAACUUUACAUAUAAAUGAGUUUUUUUAUAAUUGAGCUCAUCUUU
RNAcentral lists this long non-coding RNA (206 nucleotides) under Ananas comosus (pineapple). RNAcentral's name for it is "long non-coding RNA (ACOM_LNC040913)". Lineage: Eukaryota; Viridiplantae; Streptophyta; Magnoliopsida; Poales; Bromeliaceae. The record is from RNAcentral.